GCCUACAGCCAUGCCAUCUUGAACGUGCCUGAUCCUGUCUGAUUUCGGAAGCUAAGCAAGGUCAGGCCUGGUUAGCACAUGAAUGGGAGACCACCUAGGAAUACCAAGUGCUGUAGGCA
This 119-nucleotide ribosomal RNA is filed under the name Pteropus alecto (black flying fox). The record is from RNAcentral. Lineage: Eukaryota; Metazoa; Chordata; Mammalia; Chiroptera; Pteropodidae.